RNAcentral lists this ribosomal RNA (430 nucleotides) under Pseudomonadota bacterium. RNAcentral describes it as "Proteobacteria bacterium partial 16S ribosomal RNA". It matches the Rfam family "Bacterial small subunit ribosomal RNA", at positions 355 to 776 of the family's 1533-position model. Lineage: Bacteria; Pseudomonadati; Pseudomonadota. The record is from RNAcentral.
UGGGGAAUAUUGGACAAUGGGGGGAACCCUGAUCCAGCCAUGCCGCGUGUGUGAAGAAGGCCUUAUGGUUGUAAAGCACUUUAAGCGAGGAGGAGGGUACUGGUAUUAAUACUACCAGGUACUGGACGUUACUCGCAGAAUAAGCACCGGCUAACUCUGUGCCAGCAGCCGCGGUAAUACAGAGGGUGCGAGCGUUAAUCGGAUUUACUGGGCGUAAAGCGUGCGUAGGCGGCUAAUUGAGUCGGAUGGGAAAUCCCCGAGCUUAACUUGGGAAUUGCAUUCGAUACUGGUUAGCUAGAGUGUGGGAGAGGAUGGUAGAAUUCCAGGUGUAGCGGUGAAAUGCGUAGAGAUCUGUAGGAAUACCGAUGGCGAAGGCAGCCAUCUGGCCUAACACUGACGCUGAGGUACGAAAGCAUGGGGAGCAAACAGG